CAAAACAACUUUCUCACAGGCGAA
RNAcentral lists this non-coding RNA (24 nucleotides) under Arabidopsis thaliana (thale cress). Lineage: Eukaryota; Viridiplantae; Streptophyta; Magnoliopsida; Brassicales; Brassicaceae. The record is from RNAcentral.